AAACUAGGAUAAGAUACCCUAUUAUUUCAGUUUAAAUUUUUUUUUGACCUUAGUAUUAUUUUUAUUUUAAAUUAAAAGGAUUUGGCGGUUUUUUAAUCUUUUUAGAGGAACCUGUUUUUUAAAUGAUAAUCCACGAUUAAUUUUACCUUUAAUUUUCUCAUAUAUCUCUGUCGGUGAAUGUAAUUAGAGUUAAUUUUCUUUUUUUUUUAUAUUUUAUGUUAGGUCAAGGUGUGGUUAUAUUAAGGUUUAAAUGGGUUACUUUAAUUAUUUUUUGUUGAUUUAUUUUAUUUAAUUUAUAUUGAAUUUGGAUUUAAUAGUAAUUUAUUUUUUUAAAUUUUUUGAAUUAAGCUCUAGAUUAUGUACAUAUCGCCCGUCACUCUCAUAAAUUGAGAUAAGUCGUAACAAAGUAGAUGUACCGGAAGGUGUAUCUAGAAUCAG
Molecule: ribosomal RNA, 438 nt
Filed under: Tachycixius pilosus
Lineage: Eukaryota; Metazoa; Arthropoda; Insecta; Hemiptera; Cixiidae
Description: partial 12S ribosomal RNA
Source: RNAcentral